This is a long non-coding RNA of Sebastes umbrosus (honeycomb rockfish), 604 nucleotides long. RefSeq lists it as uncharacterized. Lineage: Eukaryota; Metazoa; Chordata; Actinopteri; Perciformes; Sebastidae. The record is from RefSeq and is a predicted model, not a curated record. The transcript has 3 exons.
CAAGUAGUGUUGUCAUGGGUUACACCUCAAUUCUUCACGUGUUAGCUUAUUCAAAUGAGCUGUUAGCAACAUGCUAAUAUAAGCACACACGUUGUUGCCAAGGCAAUUCCCACAAAUAGAGGAGGAGGUCCUACUCAAGGGAGGAAUGGUAGAAGAAGAAAACUGUAGGAAGAAGUUACAGUGAACUUACAAGAUGAAGCUGUGUAUGUGCCACACGCUUAUGGCAGUUUGGGUGAACGUCAAAACUUCAGCAGCUCACAAAGCCGUCCAAUCACAACGGAAGAGGAGGGGCGGGAGUCUGGACAAAUACCGCAAAUACCAACCGUCACAUCCUACAGGCUACAAGUGCUGAACAACAAUGGCGGAGAAAUUAAUACACAUAGACCGGCGGGUCCGUCCUCUCUCCUUUACGUGCUUCAGCCUUCCCUUCAUCCAGAGCAAGUACUCGACUUUGAACCGACAUUUUUACUUCUUGGGAUAUUCUGUAUCAUAGCAACCAGGCGCAACCAAAGUGUCUCAGUCUCAAUGCAGCGUCUCUGCAUUUAACAAUAAACAAGUAUUUAAUUAGUUUUAAAACUGUCAUCUAUCAUUUAAAAAGCACCAA